GACGAACGCUGGCGGCGUGCUUAACACAUGCAAGUCGAACGAAGAGCGAUGGAAGCUUGCUUCUAUCAAUCUUAGUGGCGAACGGGUGAGUAACGCGUAAUCAACCUGCCCUUCAGAGGGGGACCACAGUUGGAAACGACUGCUAAUACCGCAUACGAUCUAAUCUCGGCAUCGAGGAUAGAUGAAAGGUGGCCUCUACAUGUAAGCUUUCACUGAAGGAGGGGAUUGCGUCUGAUUAGCUAGGUGGAGGGGGAACGGCCCACCAAGGCGAUGCUCAGUAGCCGGUCUGGGAGGAGGAACGGCCAACAUGGGAAUGAGACACGGCCCAGACCCCUACGGGAGGCAGCCGGGGGGAAUCUUCCGCAAUGGAGGAAAGGCUGACGGGGCAACGCCGCGGGAGUGAUGACGGCCUUCGGGUUGUAAAGCUCUGUUAAUCGGGACGAAAGGCCUUCUUGCGAAUAGUGAGAAGGAUUGACGGUACCGGAAUAGAAAGCCACGGCUAACUACGUG
Molecule: ribosomal RNA, 510 nt
Filed under: uncultured bacterium
Lineage: Bacteria
Description: partial 16S ribosomal RNA
Rfam family: Bacterial small subunit ribosomal RNA
Source: RNAcentral